AGUUCGAUCUGGCUCGAUUGAACGCUGGCGGGAUGCUUUACACAUGCAAGUCGAACGGCAGCACGGACUUCGGUCUGGUGGCGAGUGGCGAACGGGUAGGAGGUAAUGUAUCGGAACGUGCCUAGUAGCGGGGGAUAACUACGCGAAAGCGUAGCUGUACCGCAUACGCCUUCGAGAAGCGGGGGACCUUCGGGCCUCGCACUAUUGAACGGCCGAUAUCGGAUUAGCUAGUUGGUGGGGUAACGGCUCUGGGCGACGAUCCGUAGCUGGUUUGAAGAGGACGACCAGCCACACUGGGACUGGAACACGGCCGAACUCCUACGGGAGGCAGCAGUGGGGAAUUUUGGACAAUGGAAACCCUGAUCCAGCCAUCCCGCGUGUGCGAUGAGCCGCUGGGUUGUAAAGCACUUUUGGCAGGAAAGAAACGGCACGGGAUAAUACCCCGUGCAACUGAUAAUGACCUGCAGAAUAAGCACCGGCUAACUACGUGCCAGCAGCCGCCUUGGUAAUACGUAGGGUGCAAGCGUUAAUCGGAAUUACUGGGCGUAAAGCGUGCGCAGGCGGUUCGGAAAGAAAGAUCUUGAAAUCCCAGAGCUUAACUUUGGAACUGCAUUUUUAACUACCGAGCUAGAGUGUGUCAGAGGGAGGUGGAAUUCCGCGUGUAGCAGUGAAAUGCGUAGAUAUGCGGAGGAACACCGAUGGCGAAGGCGACCUCCUGGGAUAACGCGACGCUCAUGCACAGCGUGGGGAGCAAACAGGAUUAGAUACCCUGGUAGUCCACGCCCUAAACGAUGUCAACUAGCUGUUGGGGCCUUCGGGCCUUACAGGUAGCGCAGCUAACGCGUGAAGUUGACCGCCUGGGAGUACGGUCGCAGAAGAUUAAAGGAAAGCUCAAGGAGUUUGACGGGGACCGCACAAGCGGUGGAUGAUGUGGAUUAAUUCGAUGCAACGCGAAAGAAAACCUUUACCUACCCUUGACAUGUCUGGAAUCCCGAAGAGAUUUGGGAGUGCUCGCAAGAGAACCGGAACACAGGUGCUGCAUGGCUGUCGUCAGCUCGUGUCGUGAGAUGUUGGGUUAAGUCCACAACGAGCGCAACCCUUGUCAUUAGUUGCUACGAAAGGGCACUCUAAUGAGACUGCCGGUGACAAACCGGAGGAAGGUGGGGAUGACGUCAAGUCCUCAUGGCCCUUAUGGGUAGGGCAUCACACGUCAUACAAUGGUCGGGACAGAGGGUCGCCAACCCGCGAGGAGGGAGCCAAUCCCAGAAACCCGAUCGUAGUCCGGAUCGCAGUCUGCAACUCGACUGCGUGAAGUCGGAAUCGCUAGUAAUCGCGGAUCAGCAUGUCGCGGUGAAUACGUUCUGAUUUGUACACACACCGCCCGUCACACCAUGGGAGUGGGUUUUACCAGAAGUAGUUAGCCUAACCGUAAGGAGGGCGAUUACCACGGUAGGAUUCAUGACUGGGGUGAAGUCGUAACAAAGGUAG
This 1488-nucleotide ribosomal RNA is filed under the name uncultured Bordetella sp. Its description in RNAcentral is "partial 16S-23S ribosomal RNA intergenic spacer". It matches the Rfam family "Bacterial small subunit ribosomal RNA". Lineage: Bacteria; Pseudomonadati; Pseudomonadota; Betaproteobacteria; Burkholderiales; Alcaligenaceae. The record is from RNAcentral.